RNAcentral lists this ribosomal RNA (253 nucleotides) under uncultured bacterium. RNAcentral describes it as "partial 16S ribosomal RNA". It matches the Rfam family "Bacterial small subunit ribosomal RNA", at positions 524 to 776 of the family's 1533-position model. The record is from RNAcentral.
UACGUAGGAUGCAAGCGUUGUCCGGAAUUAUUGGGCGUAAAGAGCGCGCAGGCGGUCUGCCAAGUCAGAUGUGAAAGAGGCCGGCUUAACCGGCAAGGGUCAUUUGAAACUGACAGACUAGAGUGCAGCAGAGGAUAGCGGAAUUCCCGGUGUAGUGGUGAAAUGCGUAGAGAUCGGGAGGAACACCAGUGGCGAAGGCGGCCCUCUGGGCCGGGCCUGACGCUGAGACGCGAGGGCGUGGGGAGCGAACGGG